CUCAAACCAGCAUAAACUAUUCGGAGUUUUAGAUGGAAAAUUAGUCCUGUGCUUCCUCAUGAAAUACAAGAAAAGCUCAAUUGUUCAGAGGAAGAGUACUUCAGGAGCCACUCUUCAGCCAUUAAGUCAUAUAUCUCAGAGCUGGAUAUAGAUUUAAUAGUGGUAUGUGUCGGUGUCAAAACCGGCGGAUCUCGGGUAGGGGGUCCCGAUCUGUGCGUCUAA
Molecule: ribosomal RNA, 222 nt
Filed under: Triticum aestivum (bread wheat)
Lineage: Eukaryota; Viridiplantae; Streptophyta; Magnoliopsida; Poales; Poaceae
Description: partial small subunit ribosomal RNA
Source: RNAcentral